UCCGAGUUAUCCCCGGCAGUCUCCUAUGAGUCCCCGGCCGAACCGCUGGCAACAUAGGACAAGGGUUGCGCUCGUUGCGGGACUUAACCCAACAUCUCACGACACGAGCUGACGACAGCCAUGCACCACCUGUGCGCGCUCCCUCGCGGGUCAGCCGACUUUCGCCGACUUACCACGAGCAUGUCAAGCCCGGGUAAGGUUCUGCGCGUUGCAUCGAAUUAAACCACACGCUCCGCUGCUUGUGCGGGCCCCCGUCAAUUCCUUUGAGUUUCAGCCUUGCGGCCGUACUCCCCAGGCGGGGCACUUCAUGCGUUUGCGCCGGCCCCCAAGGGGUCGCUCCCCCAGAGACCUAGUGCCCAUCGUUUACGGCGUGGACUAC
RNAcentral lists this unclassified non-coding RNA (379 nucleotides) under uncultured bacterium. RNAcentral describes it as "contains 16S-23S intergenic spacer region". The record is from RNAcentral.